CAGCUAACAUGCAACUGCUAUC
RNAcentral lists this microRNA (22 nucleotides) under Canis lupus familiaris (dog). Its description in RNAcentral is "Cfa-Mir-34-P3c_3p* (star (passenger))". The record is from RNAcentral. Lineage: Eukaryota; Metazoa; Chordata; Mammalia; Carnivora; Canidae. RNAcentral also lists the same sequence under 2 other names.